RNAcentral lists this ribosomal RNA (496 nucleotides) under uncultured bacterium. RNAcentral's name for it is "partial 16S ribosomal RNA". It matches the Rfam family "Bacterial small subunit ribosomal RNA", at positions 28 to 506 of the family's 1533-position model. The record is from RNAcentral.
GAUGAACGCUGGCGGCGUGCCUAAUACAUGCAAGUCGAGCGAACAGACGAGGAGCUUGCUCCUCUGACGUUAGCGGCGGACGGGUGAGUAACACGUGGAUAACCUACCUAUAAGACUGGGAUAACUUCGGGAAACCGGAGCUAAUACCGGAUAAUAUAUUGAACCGCAUGGUUCAAUAGUGAAAGACGGUUUUGCUGUCACUUAUAGAUGGAUCCGCGCCGCAUUAGCUAGUUGGUAAGGUAACGGCUUACCAAGGCAACGAUGCGUAGCCGACCUGAGAGGGUGAUCGGCCACACUGGAACUGAGACACGGCCCAGACUCCUACGGGAGGCAGCAGUAGGGAAUCUUCCGCAAUGGGCGAAAGCCUGACGGAGCAACGCCGCGUGGGUGAUGAAGGUCUUCGGAUGGUAAAACUCUGUUAUUAGGGAAGAACAAAUGUGUAAGUAACUAUGCACGUCUUGACGGUACCUAAUCAGAAAGCCACGGCUAACUACGU